Molecule: transfer RNA, 86 nt
Filed under: Minisyncoccota bacterium
Lineage: Bacteria; Bacillati; Minisyncoccota
Description: tRNA-Ser
Rfam family: tRNA
About the family: Transfer RNA (tRNA) molecules are approximately 80 nucleotides in length. Their secondary structure includes four short double-helical elements and three loops (D, anti-codon, and T loops).
Source: RNAcentral
GGAGAUGUGGCAGAGUGGUUGAAUGCACCGGUUUCGAAAACCGGCAUACUCACAAGGUAUCGGAGGUUCAAAUCCUCCCAUCUCCG